CCUACGGGAGGCAGCAGUGAGGAAUAUUGGUCAAUGGACGAGAGUCUGAACCAGCCAAGUAGCGUGAAGGAUGACUGCCCUAUGGGUUGUAAACUUCUUUUAUAUGGGAAUAAAAUGUUCCACGUGUGGGAUUUUGUAUGUACCAUAUGAAUAAGGAUCGGCUAACUCCGUGCCAGCAGCCGCGGUAAUACGGAGGAUCCGAGCGUUAUCUGGAUUUAUUGGGUUUAAAGGGAGAGUAGGUGGAUUGUUAAGUCAGUUGUGAAAGUUUGCGGCUCAACCGUAAAAUUGCAGUUGAAACUGGCAGUCGUGAGUACAGUAGAGGUGGGCGGAAUUCGUGGUGUAGCGGUGAAAUGCUUAGAUAUCACGAAGAACUCCGAUUGCGAAGGCAGCUCACUGGACUGCAACUGACACUGAGGCUCGAAAGUGUGGGUAUCAAACAGGAUUAGAUACCCCAGUAGUC
RNAcentral lists this ribosomal RNA (460 nucleotides) under uncultured bacterium. Its description in RNAcentral is "partial 16S ribosomal RNA". It matches the Rfam family "Bacterial small subunit ribosomal RNA", at positions 338 to 795 of the family's 1533-position model. The record is from RNAcentral.